RNAcentral lists this ribosomal RNA (253 nucleotides) under uncultured bacterium. Its description in RNAcentral is "partial 16S ribosomal RNA". It matches the Rfam family "Bacterial small subunit ribosomal RNA", at positions 524 to 776 of the family's 1533-position model. The record is from RNAcentral.
UACGUAGGGUGCAAGCGUUGUCCGGAAUUAUCGGGCGUAAAGAGCUUGUAGGCGGUUUGUCGCGUCUGCUGUGAAAUUUCGGGGCUCAACCCCGAACUUGCAGUGGGUACGGGCAGACUAGAGUGUGGUAGGGGAGACUGGAAUUCCUGGUGUAGCGGUGAAAUGCGCAGAUAUCAGGAGGAACACCGAUGGCGAAGGCAGGUCUCUGGGCCACUACUGACGCUGAGAAGCGAAAGCAUGGGGAGCGAACAGG